GCUUGUACUGCGGAGGACAUUG
This 22-nucleotide ribosomal RNA is filed under the name Meconopsis napaulensis. Its description in RNAcentral is "partial 18S ribosomal RNA". Lineage: Eukaryota; Viridiplantae; Streptophyta; Magnoliopsida; Ranunculales; Papaveraceae. The record is from RNAcentral.